RNAcentral lists this ribosomal RNA (278 nucleotides) under Candidatus Saccharimonadota bacterium. RNAcentral describes it as "partial 23S ribosomal RNA". It matches the Rfam family "Bacterial large subunit ribosomal RNA", at positions 1 to 278 of the family's 2925-position model. Lineage: Bacteria; Candidatus Saccharimonadota. The record is from RNAcentral.
AAGUUACUCAAGCGCACAUAAAGGAUGCCUUGACACAAGACACCGACGAAGGACGUAGUUGGCUGCGAUAAGCCGCGGGGAGCUGCCUAACAAGCUUUGAUCCGUGGAUGUCCGAAUGGGGAAACCCCGCUGAAGUCAUGUUCAGCGGCGCUUAUCUGAAUUCAUAGGAUAAGUAGCGGUAACCGGGGGAACUGAAACAUCUUAGUACCUCGAGGAAGAGAAAGUAAACAACGAUUCCGUCAGUAGUGGCGAGCGAACGCGGAACAGCCCAAACCUUA